This 253-nucleotide ribosomal RNA is filed under the name uncultured bacterium. RNAcentral describes it as "partial 16S ribosomal RNA". It matches the Rfam family "Bacterial small subunit ribosomal RNA", at positions 524 to 776 of the family's 1533-position model. The record is from RNAcentral.
UACGUAGGGUGCAAGCGUUAACCGGAAUUACUGGGCGUAAAGCGUGCGCAGGCGGUUCUAUAAGCCAGAUGUGAAAUCCCCGGGCUCAACCUGGGAACUGCAUUUGUGACUGUAGAGCUGGAGUACGGCAGAGGGGGAUGGAAUUCCGCGUGUAGCAGUGAAAUGCGUAGAUAUGCGGAGGAACACCGAUGGCGAAGGCAAUCCCCUGGGCCUGUACUGACGCUCAUGCACGAAAGCGUGGGGAGCAAACAGG